UGGUAUGAGUGUCACUUAACUGUGACAUCUGUCACCCCACUGGUCACCAGGGAUGAUUCAGCACAUCUGACUGCAAAGAGGAUGUUCCCAUCCUCCCUCCCUUCCCCACAUCUAUUUCUUCAAGAGCUGCAUGUUCAUUUAAAUAGGACAACAUUCCAUAGUACAGAAUCAUUCUUCAACUGAGGUUAUAGGAACCUCCCCUGUUGGAAGGUUUAAACAGGGUUUCUAUCCAGUAUACUUUAAAGGAUAUUUAUAAUUGGCCUUCAUAACAGAAUGUUGCAUGUGGAGAUUUUU
RNAcentral lists this small nuclear RNA (294 nucleotides) under Peromyscus maniculatus bairdii (prairie deer mouse). Its description in RNAcentral is "7SK RNA (ENSPEMG00000001988.2)". It matches the Rfam family "7SK RNA". From Rfam's summary of the family: 7SK was discovered as an abundant small nuclear RNA in the mid-70s but a possible function has only recently been suggested. Two independent studies have found that 7SK RNA binds the CDK9/cyclin T complex (known as elongation factor P-TEFb). P-TEFb activates transcription by phosphorylating the C-terminal domain of RNA polymerase II. The record is from Rfam by way of RNAcentral. Lineage: Eukaryota; Metazoa; Chordata; Mammalia; Rodentia; Cricetidae.